UAAAUGGCAUUCCUAUUGUUUACAUCAAGAUUCUUGUACCUUUCGAAGAUUAAAAUCUGUUGCUUUAAGAACUAAUAUUUGGACCAGCUUAGAUGAUCAUGUAUUGUAGCAAUGUGAUGUUACUGACUUUUUCCCUCCAUAGCUUAGACUUAUACCUUGCUUGUUCUCUAUUUAUGUGCAUGUUUAAGAUAUAUUAUCAUGAUACAGUGUAAUGUUUUGGCA
RNAcentral lists this long non-coding RNA (222 nucleotides) under Phoenix dactylifera (date palm). RNAcentral's name for it is "long non-coding RNA (PDAC_LNC018826)". The record is from RNAcentral. Lineage: Eukaryota; Viridiplantae; Streptophyta; Magnoliopsida; Arecales; Arecaceae.